AUUGAACGCUGGCGGCAUGCCUUACACAUGCAAGUCGAACGGCAGCACGGGUGCUUGCACCUGGUGGCGAGUGGCGAACGGGUGAGUAAUACAUCGGAACAUGUCCUGUAGUGGGGGAUAGCCCGGCGAAAGCCGGAUUAAUACCGCAUACGAUCCACGGAUGAAAGCGGGGGACCUUCGGGCCUCGCGCUAUAGGGUUGGCCGAUGGCUGAUUAGCUAGUUGGUGGGGUAAAGGCCUACCAAGGCGACGAUCAGUAGCUGGUCUGAGAGGACGACCAGCCACACUGGGACUGAGACACGGCCCAGACUCCUACGGGAGGCAGCAGUGUGGAAUUUUGGACAAUGGGCGAAAGCCUGAUCCAGCAAUGCCGCGUGUGUAAAGAAGGCCUUCGGGUUGUAAAGCACUUUUGUCCGGAAAGAAAUCCUUGACUCUAAUACAGUCGGGGGAUGACGGUACCGGAAGAAUAAGCACCGGCUAACUACGUG
Molecule: ribosomal RNA, 486 nt
Filed under: uncultured bacterium
Lineage: Bacteria
Description: partial 16S ribosomal RNA
Rfam family: Bacterial small subunit ribosomal RNA
Source: RNAcentral